ACUCCUACGGGAGGCAGCAGUGGGAAUCUUAGACAAUGGGCGCAAGCCUGAUCUAGCCAUGCCGCGUGAGCGAUGAAGGCCUUAGGGUUGUAAAGCUCUUUCAGCGAGGAAGAUAAUGACUGUACUCGCAGAAGAAGCCCGCUAACUCCGUGCCAGCAGCCGCGGUAAUACGGAGGGGCGUAGCGUUGUUCGGAAUUACUGGGCGUAAAGCGCACGUAGGCGGAUCAGAAAGUCAGAGGUGAAAUCCCAGGGCUCAACCCUGGAACUGCCUUUGAAACUCCUGAUCUUGAGGUCGAGAGAGGUGAGUGGAAUUCCGAGUGUAGAGGUGAAAUUCGUAGAUAUUCGGAGGAACACCAGUGGCGAAGGCGGCUCACUGGCUCGAUACUGACGCUGAGGUGCGAAAGCGUGGGGAGCAAACA
RNAcentral lists this ribosomal RNA (419 nucleotides) under uncultured bacterium. RNAcentral describes it as "bacterial SSU rRNA". It matches the Rfam family "Bacterial small subunit ribosomal RNA", at positions 335 to 774 of the family's 1533-position model. The record is from RNAcentral.